GGAGUCCGGCUUCCUGCGCUUGGGCCCCGCCUCUGACGCUGACUGACCCGCCCCCUCGGGCAAGGAUUUCGCCGUGCGGUGCCCGCGGGCUCUCGCGCGGACUGGGGACCAGAGGGCUGCUGGGGGCUGGAGGACUUGAGACUUGUACGUGGCUUAGAGCAGAGCCUGGCGCUCGGCCCCUCCCAGGUCGUAGCCGGGAUGCUCUGUGCUAGGGGACUGUUGUAAUGGCGGUCUUGUUAAACUCUCUCCUUGGUGUUUUGGAGCUAUGUUGGGGUGUGGGCGGCAAACCCUCCCUCAGGUAUGUGAGUGGAUUACCAAGCCCAGAGCUGGCGCUGGGGUUCCCAGGGGGUGGCGAGGCUCUUGAAGAUCAGCAGGACAGCCUUCCCGUGAUGGCUUUCGGAAACGAGGCCAAGUGCAGUGGGGGCAGGAGGCCCAUGACAGCGGGGCCACUGAGAGCAUUUGUUUGCUCUGGGUAAGGGGGACAGUCCUCGGAUUCCUGGCCUCAGCAGCCGUCCGCCCUCUGCGGGACCCUCGGGCGAGGUCGCCGAGCAGAGCGAGGGGUAGCGCCGUGCUGCCUCCCUGGUGCUCAGAGACACGUCGUCCGUGAUGCAUGCGUUGUGUCUGCUGUGCACGUGGUGAGUGUGCACGUGGUGUGUGUGCACACAUGCGUGGUGCGUGUGCGUGCACCUGGCUUUGCUGAGUUGUAGUCACUGUGCAACCUUGAGCCAGAGACCUGGAGGUGCCGGUGUUCCUGCCACGCUGCUGUUUCAUACUCGAGGAGAAAUUAUCCUUGGUGUGUUCGCUUUCUUUGUGAUGCAUCAUACAAGGACAGUUUCUUUUUGAGUAUCAAAUCCUGGCUCGUCGGCCUUCUUGGACCCCAUGACAAACUCUGUAAAGAGACGCGUGUGUCGCCCCUCCUGGGGCUCGCGCCUGGCCGUGGCGCGGACACCAGAGCGCUAGCCUCGGGGCCCUGGAGGCGGGGCCAAGCUUGGCAAGGGGCCAGUGGGCUCCCUGGUGCUGCCACUAACCUGCAUUGGUCACGAGUGUGCUCUGUGGGUGACCCAGCAUUCAAGGCUCAUCGAAUCCUGUUCCUUGAAGGUGCUGCUUGGACAGGAAGCCAACUUUAGGGUCAGGUCAUUGGUAUCGGUUCCCCUUCCCCUGCCCGAGGACAUGCCUGACCCCCGAGCAUGUGGCUGAAUCUCGCUGUGUGACGCUGACCCGCUAACCUGCCUUGUUCAGACUGCCUGUGGAGAACUUUCUGGAAGGGACGCUGACUUGGAGAAGACGCCACGCUCUUCUGGAGGGCACAGCCUUGUGGUGUGUAAAGAACAGCUGUCCGUAGUAUGGCCUCUCUACUUAUGGUGAUUCAUCCCAGACAACCACUGUUUCAGUAUCCAGAUUCACUUCACAAGCUUCCUCAAGCAUGGUGCCUACUUCAGCAAGAGGACCUGGGCGCCUGCCGCACCACGGAGCGCAAGUGAAGGGCUGUAAGAACUAAUUCAGUGACCUCAGGAUGCAAGCCGUCAGUGUGACUUCCCUGAGCGAAUCCCAGCCUUGGGAGGGGACACAAUUCCGGUGCUCAGAGCUGUUUGGAAGAGCUCGUUUGUUACUUGUCCGUCUUUCUCUUCUUGUUAGUGAAUCUCAGCCACGAGGAGCUCCUUGGAGAUGCUAUUGUCAAGUGUCUCUGGGCGGCUAGACAGUGGACUGGGGCAUCUGGGUCCCACACCCCCUGAUCUUUGGCGUAAAUUCUGAGCAUGGAAGACUUCCUUGAGGAGAUGCAAAAUUAAGGAAAGCACAGUCCAUUUCCUGCAGCCACUACCGUUUGGUCCCUCUGAGGAGCUGUCUGUUGACUAUUUCUUGUAUUCCUGAUGGACACGGCACGGUAACACGCUUCUUUUGGACUCAUUUCAUCAUAGAGACUCUCACAUGGAACACAGACCCUGGGAAUCAGACACUGGGGUCAACGGCAUCUCUGGGUUGGUGCGUGCACGCGUGUGUGCGUGGAUGUGUAUGUCUGUGUGUGCGUGUGUGUGUGUCUGUGUAUGAAUUGUUGGCUAAAGCAGUGUUUCUCAAACUUUAACAUGCUUCUAAGAUUUUCAUCACCUAGGGAUCUUGUUAAAAGGCAGAUUCUGAUUCAGGGACCAAGAUUCUGCAUUUUUAGCAAGUUCCCAAGUGAUGCUAAUGCUACUGGCCGGUGGACAACGCUCAAAACAGUUUGGGGCUGGAGAUGGUGUGCUUGAUUUGUGAUGUGUGUCCCCUGCUCCCCCUCUUCCACAUGCCGCCCAUCACAAGAACACUUCCCAAACCGACACCCUGCUUUUCAGUUCGUGAACAAUGGUUUUCUGCGAUGAGCUCGCUUAUGCAUAAACGUCAUGGGAUCACUCUCCCUUAUAAUCAAAUCCUGCCUCCGAGGGCUUUCCAGAUACAAGGCCUGCAUCAGGGAGAGGCCACCUGUGUCAGCCCCGUGCAAGACUGAGUUGCCAGGUGCCGGGUCAACAGCUGGAGCCAUCGCAUCUGUGAUCCUCCAUUUCCAGUCAGUCCGAAGCAGUGUUCCUGGAACUGAGGCCAUCUUUUGGGGAGCCCCUGUCUCGGGGACCUGUGAUGCACUCUGUUUUAUCAAAAAAGGUAUUAUCAUGACGGCUGUGCUUACCUGUAACACAAAUUUAUCUGUUGGCCUCUUCCAGCCAUCAGACCCCACCUCCUAGGAAUGCCCGGAGGAGGCUUUGGUGUGUGUGUGGGGGGGGUUGCAUCUGUUCUGGGAGGCUUUCUGUGCACGGCGGUUCCAGUCUGGGUGUUUGGACUUUGGGGUCGGGGCCAAGCCAAGGCCCGGGGCCCAGGGUAUGGGAACGGACGACUGAUGCUGGCACGUGGGCUCUCUUCGCAGGAUGUGGGUACCUGGCUCCCUGGCCCUGAGAUUCAGCUCAUGCGGGGAAGAAGCUUCCGGAGGCAAAGACGACGGUGGGGAAGAGGCCGUGGUUUUCGUUUCAGAACUAUUCAGGGAUAUUUGAGGAGAGGUUAUCCGUGUCAUGUUCGCUUCGUUCAUCAUGAAUAAUACAUGGUUAACCUCUUUUUGAAUAUCAAACUCUGCCUCGGAGGGCCGCCCGCACAGGAGACGUGAGAGCGUGUGCCUUGUGUGAGCUGGGAGCCCGGGGCCCGGCUGGUGGUGGGAGGGGCCCGGUGCUGCUUUGCUGUGGUUUUGCAGUGACCUGGAUGUGUUUGGAUGAUUUGUACAAAGCCGCCCCCCUCUCCGCCCUGUUCCGUCCGGCCUGCCUUGGAGUGCGGGUGUGAUGUGGGGUUGGGGGGUGGUGCUUUGCGGAUCUGUGGUUGGAACUUUCUGAGUCCACAUCACUGCAUGGCCGGCCAGUCAGUGGGGCCUGACGGGUGAGCCCCACCCCGGGGCUGGAGCUCUCCUGGCUCUGGUCCUCCAGUCCCAGUCCUUUGCAGGGUGGCUCCAGCCUGGUGGGGAGAAUGUGGUUUCCGCCCUGUGGGACACUCGAGGAGAGAUCACUUCCUUCACAAAGACUUCUCUGAGGACAAUCUACUUCCGAGGGUCAAGCCCCAUCGGGGGCAGCUCCCCGGGCACAGAGCCACCAUCUUCCCAGGUUUCCACAAGGUUCUGCCAGCAGAGCCAGUGGGGUUUCCUGUCCCACCACCGGGCCCUUGAAGAGACUGGCCCCGACCCGCAUUCCCUCCCUCGCUCGUAAGGAAGACUGCUCAGCCUCUACACCCGACAGCGCCUCCCGCGCAGAGCUGGCUUUGGGAUCACCCCUGGUUACGGGGACAGGAUCCCAAGCUUGGUGAAGGGUGGCGCCCCUGGGCCCUGCCCCUUCCAGGAUCCUCUCCAUGUUGACACCUGGGGGUGGCUGCAAAGCCCCGCGGCUCCCCAUCUUCGUGGCUCUGUUCUCUUUGUGGUGACAAGCCCAGCAGACGAGUCCUUUUGUAGAAUCAGUUCAGGACAGACGCCUGUUGGGGACGCCAGCUUCACAGUAAGAGCCCUGUCCACAGGUGAUUGCGCAGAAGUGACCCGAGCUUUGGAGACGGGACGCAGGUGUGCUUGUCGGCGUUGGCACGUGAGGUCUUGGGGAUGCUCUUCGUAACCGUGUGGUGGAUGUUCUGGCACCGUGGAAGACUGAGAGGAGGUGUCCCGCCUUCAGGGCAGGGUUCUGUGCCCCCCUCACUGGGUCCACGGGGAGAGGGUCAGCGUGUGAGGAUCCCCGGGCCCUCAGAACACAAUCAGUCGUCUGUAGGGACUUUGGGGACCAGGUCCGCCCCAUCUCUCUCCCUCGAAGAGAGAGGUUCGGUCCGGGGAUGCUGUAUGUAUGGCUGUAUCACUGGUCAUUCAGCUCCUGCUCUUCUUCUGCCCAUGAGGACCGCCUGGGGAAGAAGGCAGCUCUCUUCCAGGGAAAGGUUACUGCUCUCUGUGUCCAUCCAAAGUCUAGGGAGGGCUGGUGUGACCCGUGACCAUCAGCAUCUGCUCUGCCCCACCCAAAGGCACCAUCCAUGGCGGGGUGCCUCUGCCGCUCUUGCUCUGUUACAGACGCAGUGCCGUAGUGCAUUCUUCCUGGGCAUCAUCCCACCUUCAGGAGGAAUGGCCUUCCCUAGUGCUUGAGAGAAUGGCGCAUCUCAGAGCCUGUGCUCAGUGAGGGUGAAGCCACAGGGUCCCCAGCAGUGGCAUCGAGGCCUUGAAUGCUUAGCUUCCCAGGCUGAGCGUGUCAGGGCUGGCUAUUGGGGCUUCACUGUGUUUGCAGCUGAUCACAUCAGAGCCGCUGUUUUGCAGGACAAACUCCCACAUGGAGAUGCACUCCAACUGGAACUCUAACCAGAGGACAGGGUGUGGCCCAUGAUAGGGGAAUGGAUGGUUGAUCAGAGAACAUACAUUUUAUCAAUGAUGUAUGUCAACUGAUCCACAGUCCCUGCCUAUCCAGUGACUUCUCAGGACAGACUCCGGGAGAAGAGGCGGUGAUUCCUUGUCCAGGCUAGUACCUGGCCCUUCAAAAGACCUUCUUGCCGGGUUGGCUCUAUUUAUGCUGAGUCAUAGAAGGGAAAGUUUGUGUUUUUAAGUCUUGAUCGUGCCUCAGAAGCUUCCUGGGAAGACCUGUUGGCAUCAGCCGCUUCCCAGGGGAAGGAAUGCAUGGUUGGCCAGAGAGCACUGACACACGUGGUUGGCCAGUGGGCUUUAUCUACAACGGGCAACGUCCAAUUCUCCUAACCCUCAGUCCCCAGUUCGUCCUCAGCAGGACUAGCUGGAGGCAAGGCCGGCUCUGGUGAAGACUUGGUUCCUCAGCAUAAGCCUUCGGUACUUGAAGAGCGGUUAUCCCUGCUGUGUUCGCUGUAUUUAUGACGAAUCAUACAGGGACAUCCAGUUUUUCAGUAUCAAAUACUGCUGUGGAGGGCAUCCUGGGCAGCGUCCAGCCUUCAGAGAGGAGGUCUUGGUUUGUGUACCCACCCAAGGUAUGUACGUGGAAGGCAGAGCCCAGCGCACACGCGUCCUUCGUGACACAUGGCACUCCCUGGUGGCACCCAUGACUAGAAGCUGAUCUAUGUGGAAGGUGAUUGCCCAGGAGGGCUGGGAUCUUCUGGAAGGAAUGCCGGUAUCUGCCUCACACCGUCCUGAGGGGCUGACCAGUGAGAGCCCCGCGCACACAGACUGCCCGCUGCCCGUUGCGAGUGAAGCCCCUCCUUUCGAAGAAGGAGCCCCGGAGAGCGUGCGAAUGCGAGGGCCCAGUGGCGAUGCCGGCCGACACCGAGUUGGUCGUCCCUACUGCAUUUGCUCCAGGAAGGACUUUCUGCUUGUCCACUCUUGCCCAGGAAGGCUUUCUGGAAGCACUGCCAACCUCAGGGAGACCUGUGGGCAUCGCAUCUUCCCAGGGUGCAUGGAGAGUUUUAGCGGAGCAGAGUCUACUCUGUGUCUCUGACGAGCCUCACUUGGCUCCCGGCCCCGCAAGACCUGGCCCCGCAAGACCCGGCCGCUUUGAGAACUGCUGUGGGGAAGGAACAACUGCUUUGCACCUGAUGCUCUUUCAACAGGGCUCUUUCUUGACAUUAUCAGAUCAUCUUGUUACUGGUGUGACCACACUGCUAAUGAACUGUCCCUGAAUUGAUCAAUCAACGAGGAGUGACUCAGUCAUUUCACAAACAAUGAUCGAGUGUGUACUAUGUUCUAGAUGCUUCUAGACCUUAGCUGUUUCCUCUAAACUGAGGAUGGAGCAGUGAGCAAGGUCAAGUCCUUGCCCACGUAGACUUGACAAUCUGGUGGGAGAGAUGGAUAAGAAAACCAAACCGUGAAACAGUCUGGCCCACUGUUAGGCACUCUGAAGCGCAGGACAGCAGAGCAGCGUGUGAGGAAGACGCCCCCGCAGAGCGGGCGCUUCUGUUCAGCGCGGGCCUGGAAAGGUCCCUCUGGGAAGGGGACAUGGGAGCCACGUGGGGGCUGGGUCAGCUGGAGCGUUUCAGGGGGGUGUGGCACACGAAAGCCACCUGGCGUCCUUGAGAAAAAGCGAGAAGCUCUGCGGGUGUGGACUGAGCUACGGGGUGAGAGAGGCCCCCUCAGAGGUGGGGCGCACGCGGACUUUAUUCGGAGGGAGGGAGGCGGGGCCUGUGUUGAAGAGGUCUCUCUCUGAGCACAAGGGUGACAAUCAAGAGCCCGCGUGGGGGCUGUUGCAUAGAUGUAGGGAGCUCAGGCUAGGAUGGGGGCCCCCGCAGAGGCAGGAGCCACGGAGCACGUGGGAUGUCCCAAAGGUGGAGGCAGCACCCAUCCAGGGCUGGACUGGAUGAGCCUGGCCCGGGUCAGGAGGGAGAAGGUGGGGCAGGCGCUGAACCAGAGGUUCUGCAGGUGUGAUCAUCGCUGAGUGGGGAUUCUAGAGAGUCGAACUUUGGGAGAAGGUGUCAUGACCAGUAUUGCCAAGAUCCAAGCUGAGGCCGUGACCGUGGGGCUGAAGGGCCAGGUAGGAUGCAGGCAGAUGUAACUGGAGGUGAGGCCGUCCCCAAGCCUACGUGGGGGAGCUGGGUCCAGUGUUGAUAAGUGGUCAUUGCCAAGGUGGAAAGCAGGAGAUGUUCCAGGAGGAAGAUGGUGACCCAGAGCUGUCAGGGAGGACCAAGGUGGCCGUGACCAGGGAGUGGGCAGUGAGGUCUGAUGAAUAUGCUGGAAAGAACUGACAUUUUGAAAGGAAAAGAGAGGGAAAACGGUCUGGAGCGAUGAGCAGGGACGCCGUCUACCCUCUGCCAGGCUUUGGUGCAGGAAAUGAGAGGACAGCCGUCCCUCCGGGGGUGGAAGGUGGAGCACAUGGUGACGGCCCUGGGCCAGAUGUGCCGUGGAGGGGCUGUGCGGCACGGAGGCAGGGUGGGGGAUGGGCUCUGACAUUGAGCCUUGGGGUGUGAGGCUCAGAGCCUUCCAGUGGUGAAUGCGGGAAGUGGAAUGUGGUCCUGCUGGUCUGAGGUUGUAGGGGAGAAGGUGGGUGAGUGACUUGUGAUGCCACCCUUCUUGGAAUUGCUUUCUUGGGGGCUUCCCCAUGGGAGAUGGGUG
Long non-coding RNA from Camelus dromedarius (Arabian camel), 7522 nucleotides. RefSeq lists it as uncharacterized. NCBI's taxonomy places the organism in Eukaryota, Metazoa, Chordata, Mammalia, Artiodactyla, Camelidae. The record is from RefSeq and is a predicted model, not a curated record. The transcript is spliced from 3 exons.